Molecule: ribosomal RNA, 223 nt
Filed under: Vibrio harveyi
Lineage: Bacteria; Pseudomonadati; Pseudomonadota; Gammaproteobacteria; Vibrionales; Vibrionaceae
Also listed under: 1 other name
Description: partial 23S ribosomal RNA
Rfam family: Bacterial large subunit ribosomal RNA
Source: RNAcentral
CAGGUGGUCGGGUAGAGAAUACCAAGGCGCUUGAGAGAACUCGGGUGAAGGAACUAGGCAAAAUGGUACCGUAACUUCGGGAGAAGGUACGCUCUCGACGGUGAAGUCCCUCGCGGAUGGAGCUAUUGAGAGUCGCAGAUACCAGGUGGCUGCAACUGUUUAUUAAAAACACAGCACUGUGCAAAAUCGUAAGAUGACGUAUACGGUGUGACGCCUGCCCGGU